RNAcentral lists this long non-coding RNA (1100 nucleotides) under Phasianus colchicus (ring-necked pheasant). RNAcentral's name for it is "lncRNA (ENSPCLG00000015223.1)". Lineage: Eukaryota; Metazoa; Chordata; Aves; Galliformes; Phasianidae. The record is from RNAcentral.
GUUCAUGUGCAGCAGUUAACCUAUAAAUGCACGCUCCCUAUUGGCACAUAUACGAGAUAAAGGGAAAGUUCAUUUUCCUGGAUAGUUCAGGGACACUUUCACUCUUCAUACCAGCAUCAGGUCUGGCCUGUUUAAGUAAAGCCUGUGGCAUCUGUGAUGUGUGUAUACUGACUGUGAUGAUAACUGAUACUGAGAUGAUAACUCUGAAUGGAUCUGCUGCAAAGAAACUAUCUGAUGCUGGUUUCAUUCUUUUGGUGUUAAUCAUUUUGAGAACACUGAGAUCCCGCUGGCUCAAUUUCUGAGUUUGUCAAGUUGCACCUGGAACAAGAAUCUGACCUUGAGAUCUGCACUAUGGAAGAUCUGCAGCUGUGUAGAGCAAAAAUAGAAAAUCUGGAAUCUUCUAUUUCUACUUUUUCAUAAUCAAGGAGCAUCUAUCCAAGUACUGUUUUACCACUUUGGUUGAUAAUGUAUGACAUUUGAUGGUUUUAGGGUUUCCAUGAAUGAGUUUCUAACUGAGAACUGUUUUUCCAAGUGAAGGACAAUGGAGGCAUGGAAAAGAACCUGUAAAAAAUUAACACGAAUAAGGUGUUUUCUCUAAAAACUACUUGAAGUUCCUUGUGUGUACUCUCAAAGUCCUCAGUAAAAACAUACAAGUGGGCCAAAUUCAUGUCCCACUGAUGGUAAUUCCCAGUACUCAACUAAAAUUUUGUGUUGCCAGUGCCUACUAUCAGGACAAUUUUAUCAAUAUUUACUGGAUAGAAAUGUAUAUCAGAUAAUUUUUCAAGGCAUUUAGAGCUCUCUUUUCCCUCCUGUUCAGCCACUUAGCACAGCUGCUGUUGUAGCAAUUCUUCCUAGACAGGUUUUGGCAAGACAAAAGCAGUAGUGAAUCAUAAUCAUACAAUCAUAGAAUGGCCUGGGUUGAAAAGGACCACAGUGAUCAUCGAGUUUCAACCCCCCUAUGUGCUAUGUGCAGGGUCACCAACCAGCAGACCAGGCUGCCCAGAGCCACAUCCAGCCUGGCCUUGAAUGCCUCCAGGGAUGGGGCAUCCACAACCUCUAGUGAGUGCACUACAAAGAAUAAAAACAGCAAAUGUACAACA